UGCAGUCGAACGGUAGCACAGAGAGCUUGCUCUCGGGUGACGAGUGGCGGACGGGUGAGUAAUGUCUGGGAAACUGCCUGAUGGAGGGGGAUAACUACUGGAAACGGUAGCUAAUACCGCAUAACGUCGCAAGACCAAAGAGGGNGACCUUCGGGCCUCUUGCCAUCAGAUGUGCCCAGAUGGGAUUAGCUAGUAGGUGGGGUAAUGGCUCACCUAGGCGACGAUCCCUAGCUGGUCUGAGAGGAUGACCAGCCACACUGGAACUGAGACACGGUCCAGACUCCUACGGGAGGCAGCAGUGGGGAAUAUUGCACAAUGGGCGCAAGCCUGAUGCAGCCAUGCCGCGUGUAUGAAGAAGGCCUUCGGGUUGUAAAGUACUUUCAGCGGGGAGGAAGGUGUUGUGGUUAAUAACCGCAGCAAUUGACGUUACCCGCAGAAGAAGCACCGGCUAACUCCGUGCCAGCAGCCGCGGUAAUACGGAGGGUGCAAGCGUUGAUCGGAAUUACUGGGCGUAAAGCGCACGCAGGCGGUCUGUCAAGUCGGAUGUGAAAUCCCCGGGCUCAACCUGGGAACUGCAUUCGAAACUGGCAGGCUAGAGUCUUGUAGAGGGGGGUAGAAUUCCAGGUGUAGCGGUGAAAUGCGUAGAGAUCUGGAGGAAUACCGGUGGCGAAGGCGGCCCCCUGGACAAAGACUGACGCUCAGGUGCGAAAGCGUGGGGAGCAAACAGGANUAGAUACCCUGGUAGUCCACGCCGUAAACNAUGUCGACUUGGANGUUGUUCCCUUGAGGAGUGGCUUCCGGAGCUAACGCGUUAAGUCGACCGCCUGGGGAGUANNNNCGCANGGNUAAAACUCAAAUGAAUUGANNNGGGCCCGCACAAGCGGNNGNAGCAUGUGGUUU
Molecule: ribosomal RNA, 900 nt
Filed under: uncultured bacterium
Lineage: Bacteria
Description: bacterial SSU rRNA
Rfam family: Bacterial small subunit ribosomal RNA
Source: RNAcentral